CACUGAAAUACCGGUUCUCAUACGUUCACUGAAGUUAAGCAAAUUCCUGGUCAGUAUCUAGAUGGGUAACCGCAUGGGAAUACCAGGUGCUGUAAG
Molecule: non-coding RNA, 96 nt
Organism: Acanthosepion pharaonis
Lineage: Eukaryota; Metazoa; Mollusca; Cephalopoda; Sepiida; Sepiidae
Source: the annotation of a GenBank genome assembly